CACAACAAAAGUUGCUUUGCCGAUGCGAUUUGCGACUCGUCCAAUUGUGGCACCAAAGUAUGGAUUAUUCGAUGAAAGAUGUAAAAAGUGAAGAAGUGACUUGAAACUGCGCGCUAAAAAUACUUAAAAAUAGAUUCCAUCGUCGGCACCUCACACUAUUAUCGCGAAGAUAAGUUCUAAUGUUAAUGUUUAUUGGCUCAAUGCUUAUUGGUGGCAGCAAAAUACAUACAUGUUAUAUAGAUGCUGCAACAGAUUCAAAACAUCUUUAACACAGGAUGCUAAUAUACUUUCUAGUCUAUUCAAAAAUAACACUGACC
Long non-coding RNA from Acromyrmex echinatior (Panamanian leafcutter ant), 317 nucleotides. The record is from RefSeq and is a predicted model, not a curated record. NCBI's taxonomy places the organism in Eukaryota, Metazoa, Arthropoda, Insecta, Hymenoptera, Formicidae.